CGGCGCGAUGCGGCAAACUGCAGACUACUGCGGGGCCGCCUGCCACCAACGUGAAGAUUUUUCAUAAAAACACCCGUCGAGACGAGCGCGAUCGACACGGCGGAAAAUUAUUUAAACACAAAUUUACAAAGUUAUGACGUCUGAAGCGGAGAUGGAUAGUUUAGACGAAGCAAAAUACAUUUGCUGGACGGCUGCAGUAUGUGGAAAUCUAUAUUCCGUUGGUCCGUUAUCAAAUCUUUGAUGACGUUUGAAGUUGAAAUAAUGAAAUCAAAAAUGGCUGUGCAUCAAUAGUUCGAUCAAACUCGACGUGGCGGUGGAUUGUUUGUAUUCAGUUAAACAUAGACUGUUAAACGUAUUAUAGACGUCAAUCAUUAAUUUAUUCAUAAUACUGUCCAAGACGAAGAAAUUAGACCUGCGCAUUUGCACAUAUUUUCUGCGCAUAAUAUAGUCCGAACAUUUGAGGUCGUUAUUGUGCAUUAUAAAAUAAAGGAAGGAUAUUGUUGGUUGGUAAACACUUGUGUAGUUUUGGCAGAUUUUCAAGUGGGCACCCAUAGGUAUCUGCCAUGCCCGGGUGGGGGAUGGCGGCACUUGUUCUUCGGACACAGUGACUUGCCGAAUAAAACUGCCGCCCGUGAACCGAGGUUUGAACCAGCGCCGGUGUGCAUCACAACCGACGCCUUAGUCCGCUCGGCCACUCCGUCCCCCAAAGUAUAAUUUAUAUUCAUAUAAUUUGUUUCUACCUAUUACUGCAUAAUAUAUUAUUAAUUAUUAUAUUAUAUGAAUAAAUUACUGAUAGGUACCUAUUAUAAAUUAUAAAUUAUAAUAAAUUAACUUUAAAAGCGAAGUUUAUAAUGUCACAAUCAUAAGUUAAAACA
Molecule: long non-coding RNA, 875 nt
Organism: Metopolophium dirhodum (rose-grain aphid)
Lineage: Eukaryota; Metazoa; Arthropoda; Insecta; Hemiptera; Aphididae
Exons: 3
Source: RefSeq, a predicted model, not a curated record